Molecule: ribosomal RNA, 529 nt
Filed under: Salmonella enterica
Lineage: Bacteria; Pseudomonadati; Pseudomonadota; Gammaproteobacteria; Enterobacterales; Enterobacteriaceae
Description: bacterial LSU rRNA
Rfam family: Bacterial large subunit ribosomal RNA
Source: RNAcentral
UAAGCGUACACGGUGGAUGCCCUGGCAGUCAGAGGCGAUGAAGGGCGUGCUAAUCUGCGAUAAGCGCCGGUAAGGUGAUAUGAACCGUUAUAACCGGCGAUACCCGAAUGGGGAAACCCAGUGUGACUCGUCACACUAUCAUUAACUGAAUCCAUAGGUUAAUGAGGCGAACCGGGGGAACUGAAACAUCUAAGUACCCCGAGGAAAAGAAAUCAACCGAGAUUCCCCCAGUAGCGGCGAGCGAACGGGGAGGAGCCCAGAGCCUGAAUCAGCAUGUGUGUUAGUGGAAGCGUCUGGAAAGGCGCGCGAUACAGGGUGACAGCCCCGUACACAAAAGCGCAUGUGCUGUGAGCUCGAUGAGUAGGGCGGGACACGUGGUAUCCUGUCUGAAUAUGGGGGGACCAUCCUCCAAGGCUAAAUACUCCUGACUGACCGAUAGUGAACCAGUACCGUGAGGGAAAGGCGAAAAGAACCCCGGCGAGGGGAGUGAAAAAGAACCUGAAACCGUGUACGUACAAGCAGUGGGAGC